UUUACAACUCCAGAAUCAUAGUUGUUAUAGAAGAAACUAAAUGGAUCAUCAGUUCUAUCUCUGGCCUUCAGGCUGGGGGAAUAUUUUUUCCCAUUUAAUAUAUUAGGUCAUUAAGGCCCAGAGAGGUUAAAUGACAUGAAUGGAAAUAGGUACUGAAAUGGUUAGACAGAAAAAUUGGGGUCAUUCUAUAGAAAGAAGCCUUCAGUGCUAGGUUAAAGAACUUAACUUGUAGUAAACUCAGUCAAUGAUGGGGACUACCAGAAGCUUUCACUAGGAUGGUGACAUAAUGAGAGUUAUGUGGGGCAGUGUUUUCAUAUCCAUAUUCAUAUUAUGGAAUAUGAUCCAUUAGUGAGUUAUAAAGUCAAUUCCAUGGUCAUGAAUAAAAACAAUAUCAAAGCACAA
Pipistrellus kuhlii (Kuhl's pipistrelle) is the source of this 402-nucleotide long non-coding RNA. RefSeq lists it as uncharacterized. The transcript is spliced from 2 exons. The record is from RefSeq and is a predicted model, not a curated record. NCBI's taxonomy places the organism in Eukaryota, Metazoa, Chordata, Mammalia, Chiroptera, Vespertilionidae.